This 413-nucleotide unclassified non-coding RNA is filed under the name Hevea brasiliensis (rubber tree). The record is from RNAcentral. Lineage: Eukaryota; Viridiplantae; Streptophyta; Magnoliopsida; Malpighiales; Euphorbiaceae.
AUUUGUGAAACACUUAAUAUAGCAAAGUGGUUAAGGAUUUGCUUUAAAAUAGACUAUCCAUGGGUCCAAAUUUGUGACAUUGUAGUGAGACUCAGGCCAAAUACCAUUAGCAGGAUGGUCCUUUGGACAAUGCCGAAUCUGAGAACUGUCAAGAUUAAUACCGAUGAGAGCUAUGAUAUAUGAUAAGGCAGGGAAUGGGGGGAUAGCCAGAGGUUGCAAUGGGGAUUUCGUUUUUGCUUUUGCUUUUCCUGUACAAUGCCAAAAUCAAUGGGGGAUAGCCAGAAACAUGUUCCCUAUCAGUGGUUUGAUCUCCAUUCGUAAUUGGACAAUAUACUAUUAUUCAUAAGAAACACUUGGUUCAACAAAAAAACAUCGAUUCUGACAAAAUCAUGCCUCCAAUUUUACAUCCAUGU